CCUACGGGUGGCAGCAGUGAGGAAUAUUGGUCAAUGGUCGGGAGACUGAACCAGCCAAGCCGCGUGAGGGAGGAAGGUACUAGGUAUCGUAAACCUCUUUUGUCGGGGAACAAAGAACGGGACGCGUGGCCGUCUGAGAGUACCCGAAGAAAAAGCAUCGGCUAACUCCGUGCCAGCAGCCGCGGUAAUACGGAGGAUGCGAGCGUUAUCCGGAUUUAUUGGGGUUAAAGGGUGCGUAGGCGGAAGAUCAAGCUGGCGGGAAAAUGGGGAGGUCCACCCUUGGCGCGGCGGGGAAACUGGUUUGCUUGAGUGAGCGAGAGGUAUGCGGAAUGCGUGGUGUAGCGGUGAAAUGCAUAGAUAUCACGCAGAACUCCGAUUGCGAAGGCAGCAUACCGGAGCGCAACUGACGCUCAUGCUCGAAAGUGUGGGUAUCGAACAGGAUUAGAUACCCGGGUAGUC
RNAcentral lists this ribosomal RNA (459 nucleotides) under uncultured bacterium. RNAcentral describes it as "partial 16S ribosomal RNA". It matches the Rfam family "Bacterial small subunit ribosomal RNA", at positions 338 to 795 of the family's 1533-position model. The record is from RNAcentral.